AACCAGCCAUGCCGCGUGCAGGAUGACGGUCCUAUGGAUUGUAAACUGCUUUUGUACGAGAAGAACAUCCCGACGUGUCGGGACUUGACGGUAUCGUAAGAAUAAGGAUCGGCUAACUCCGUGCCAGCAGCCGCGGUAAUACGGAGGACCCAAGCGUUAUCCGGAAUCAUUGGGUUUAAAGGGUCCGUAGGCGGUUUAGUAAGUCAGUGGUGAAAGCCCAUCGCUCAACGGUGGAACGGCCAUUGAUACUGCUAGACUUGAAUUAUUAGGAAGUAACUAGAAUAUGUAGUGUAGCGGUGAAAUGCUUAGAGAUUACAUGGAAUACCAAUUGCGAAGGCAGGUUACUACUAAUGGAUUGACGCUGAUGGACGAAAGCGUGGGUAGCGAACAGGAUUAGAUACCCUGGUAGUCCACGCCGUAAACGAUGGAUACUAGCUGUUGGGGGCAACUUCAGUGGCUAAGCGAAAGUGAUAAGUAUCCCACCUGGGGAGUACGUUCGCAAGAAUG
This 507-nucleotide ribosomal RNA is filed under the name uncultured Bacteroidota bacterium. RNAcentral describes it as "bacterial SSU rRNA". It matches the Rfam family "Bacterial small subunit ribosomal RNA", at positions 386 to 896 of the family's 1533-position model. The record is from RNAcentral. Lineage: Bacteria; Pseudomonadati; Bacteroidota.